Molecule: long non-coding RNA, 1139 nt
Organism: Parus major (Great Tit)
Lineage: Eukaryota; Metazoa; Chordata; Aves; Passeriformes; Paridae
Exons: 3
Source: RefSeq, a predicted model, not a curated record
CCUCAAUGUCAAUGGUUAUGUACAAGCAGAAGUGACAAGAUUGAGGUAAAUAAUGUGUCCAAAACAACAAGCAAUGGAACUGGGGAAGGGUCUGGAGCACAAGUCUGAUGAGGAGCAGCCAAAGGAGCUACAGUUGUUUAACCUGGAGGAAAGGAAGCUUAGGAAGGACCUGCUCACACUCUACAACUCACUGAAAGGACUGUCAUCUCGGAGUAAAGGCAUCACAGAGGUCUCAUGUGCCUGAGUGAUGCUGAAGUCUAUCGCCCAGUUUUCUGCUUAAGUUGAGGAGAAAAGUCUUCUGAACUGCUUCUGAGAGCACUUUAUGAAAUAGUUUGGGGACAAAUUAAAGGAGAACAUGAUCAGAACUGGAAGAGGUUGUACUGAAGCAAAUGAAAUCGGAAAGUCUGCUACUCAGAGGAUGAAGAGAACUAUGGACACAAAUGCUGUGGGGGGCUGUCUGAAAUUCCGAGAAGAUUGGAUUAUUUCCAGUUAACCUCAAUGGAAAACAAAAGCUGUCUGCAUUAAGUGCCUGAAACAUUAGCCAUGAAAUCCUAUUUGUUUGCCUUCUGUCAUGGUUUGGUUCUUGGUCUUUGUAUCACACAUGAGCUGAGGGUUUUAACACUUAUUACAAGGGUUCAUUCUAUUAUGGUCAGUAUUUUGACCAUAUUGUUUGUGAUUUAGUGGCAGUACUAGUUAUAUCUCAUAGGAAAAAGGUUGCAGAGAGUGAUUUUUGAAAGAAACUUUCCUUGUUAAGGAAGCAUUUUUGUAUCAGCCUCUAUGUCUGUGACUUUGUGUGUACAUUGUUAUAUACACAGUCUUGCACUUCAGAUAUUUUUCAGAAGCCAAUUUCAUUUAUCUCCUGAAUUUGUCAAAUGGUCAAACAGGGUUUGAGGAAGAUUCACCUUUGUGUCUUUAAACAAAACCUAGAAUAUACAUAGUGCUCCAUUUUGCAUUUGUUGUUCAGGCAAUAAUUAGUUAUCAGAAUGAAUACUAAAGGAUACAGAAAAUAAUGAAAAAAAGUGGACAGCAGGAUGGUUUGUUAUCAUUGUUGUUAUUGUUAUGGUUAUUCUUGUUAUUAUUCCUCCCAUGUCUAUUUAUAUUUAAGGUUUUUUCCCCAAUGUACAUAAAAUGCACCUUUG